UGCAUUUUUAGGUAUGAAUGA
RNAcentral lists this non-coding RNA (21 nucleotides) under Arabidopsis thaliana (thale cress). The record is from RNAcentral. Lineage: Eukaryota; Viridiplantae; Streptophyta; Magnoliopsida; Brassicales; Brassicaceae.